UGCCUCUCUGUCCUUCCUCCUCUACUUCCUGGCUGGGGCACAGGAAAGGAAUCGCACAGAGACGGUUGUCUGCUAGCAUGGCCAGCUCCGAGUUUCAGUUACAUUGAUCACUGGCUCUUGUGUAGUUUUCCGAUGGCACAAAGGGGAUUCUAGGGCAGCUUUCCCUUCAGUGCCCUUUCGCUAGGGCUCACCGUUCUGUCCAGCAUGUGUGCAGAAAGAGAAGAUCCCUGGGGUGACGUUUUGAAGACUAUCACAGGGAGCCAUUCUGUCUGCAUCCUGUCUCGGUCACUGCUUGUCUAAGUACCAGAGAGCUGCUCCCCAGUGUGUCCAGGCCUCCAUCACCACUGGGACCCCAACAUCUGGUUCCCAGGAUUCUGAGCAAGAACAAGGAGGUGAUGUUGUAGGAAAAAUAGUUAUGAGGCCCACCCAGAUACCAUCAUACCCCAGCCAGAAGCCCGCCUGGACACCAGUGGCUUGGGCGUGCAGGCCCCAGCCAAAGGGCUCAAGGAAAACAGCUGUGCGGGGCCCCGGAGAGAGGCCUGCCCAGACAACAGCCCAGCGUGGGGAUCUAGAAGGCCAUCAUUGUGAACCCAGGAAUUGGCUCAGAGGAAUUUGGGAAAAGAGUUGAGCGAUAAGAUGAGCUCAAGGAGACAAAAUCGGAUGAAAAUGGGGAGCUCUGGCAGCAAAUCCACAUAAGGACGCUUCUUAGGGAGACAAGUGGGACCUCGGCUGCACACGUCCCUCUGGGCUUGGAAGGUGGCCUCGAUUUGGAGCUCAGACCUGGUGGGAAACCUCCAAUGCUGUUGCCUUCCAGGAACUGCCAGCAGCCUGCAAGGGGCCUUUGGCCUGGCCUGGGCACCACCCUGCCUCAGCCACUGCGACUUUAGCUUGUCUUCAUUCUUUGUAUCUCAGAAUCCUCAGUGGCAAAAUAGGGUUAGUAAUAAAAGACACCUAUAGAAGCCCCUAGAACAAAGUGUGACUCAUAGUCAGAGCUUAAAAAAUGUUUAGCUACUAUCACUGUGUAGGAGGGAAUCAGGAGGAAGGGAAAGGGACUGAACCUGGGGACUUGUGCUUGCUAGUCAAGUGGCCCUACCACGGAGCCACACGCCCAGGCCACUAGAGCAGAGCUUCUUACACGUGAAUGGCACCGAAAUCACCUGGGGACACCUGGGGAUCUCUGUGGAGAGCAGACUGACGUGGUAAGUCUGGGAGAGCCAGGGCUCUGUGUUUCUCCCUGAUGGUGCUGCACUUGGGGUUCACGGACUCGGGGUCCCAAGGAAGUGGCCUGCACAGCCCACAGACCUUUUGGCGAUGAUACAGUUCUCACUCACAAUAAGCACUUUUGCUUAUGGAAUGCUUGAAAUGAGGCUGCUGGAGGAUGAUGUUUUAAUUUAUUUAACUGCAGUGCCAAUAACCACAUGUGCUCAGCGGCUGCCUUACUGGACAGCACGCUCUGCACAGGACGUCAAGCUCACAGUUCCGAUCCUUGGCAGAGUCGUCAAAACCAAAACAGUGUGUGCAACCUGAACAAGACUAUCUACAUACCUGGAAAAUGUGCUCAACAUAUGUGCUCUGACACUGUAAGUGUCAGCAAAAUAUACUUUCCACGUGCAGAUG
Molecule: long non-coding RNA, 1617 nt
Organism: Heterocephalus glaber (naked mole-rat)
Lineage: Eukaryota; Metazoa; Chordata; Mammalia; Rodentia; Bathyergidae
Source: Ensembl